GUUCCCUUCGGGGACAAAGUGACAGGUGGUGCAUGGUUGUCGUCAGCUCGUGUCGUGAGAUGUUGGGUUAAGUCCCGCAACGAGCGCAACCCUUAUUACUAGUUGCCAGCAUUGAGUUGGGCACUCUAGUGAGACUGCCGGUGACAAACCGGAGGAAGGUGGGGAUGACGUCAAAUCAUCAUGCCCCUUAUGACUUGGGCUACACACGUGCUACAAUGG
RNAcentral lists this ribosomal RNA (219 nucleotides) under uncultured bacterium. RNAcentral's name for it is "partial 16S ribosomal RNA". It matches the Rfam family "Bacterial small subunit ribosomal RNA", at positions 1013 to 1233 of the family's 1533-position model. The record is from RNAcentral.